GUGCCCAGAUGGCCCCCACCUGGCGUUGCCGGUGAACGGAACCCAGUGCUGGUUAUUUCUGGUUAGAGGCGCAUGGAGGCCCGCCCUGGGAUGGUGCCACCAGGUUACUUGCCCAGCGGUGAAGGAUGGCAGCUUUACAGCUCCCCGACGCAUCAGACUAAAGAACGUUAGCCAGGGUCUGCACCGGUGGUUCUCAAAGUGCUGUCCCCAGAACUGUCGCCUUGGGAAUGACUAGCACACAUCAGAGAGGCACCUUCUUUCACCCAGCAUCACGAGUGACACAAAAGCACAGACACGAAUCAGGAGAAAUGAAGAAACCAGCCCUUUGUGUCUUUAAAGACAUGGGUCUUCGGCGAGGACUAAAUGUUUCCACAAGAAUGUUGCUCACCCCUCCAUUACUACAUACUCUUCUGCUGAGCUCCAACCUGGCCUUUUAAUCAUUGGUGCUCAAGGUAAAAUCCAUUUCAUGGCAUAAAUAGUUAACUUUCCUAAAUUCAAUAGAUCUUGUGACUACAAAAAUAUUACAUAUUAUAAACUUCUAAUUGAAGGUAAACCAAAACCUCUAAGAAAUUAUCUUGUUUUCUACUACUUUUCAGUGUGUCUUCCUUCUUAUACUAGAAUACUUCUUAGAAAUGAAAAAUUCAUUACAACAAAAUUUACAUUUACUACGCAGCUGUCUGCUAUGAUUUGUAAGUACAUAUAUCUUUUCUAUUGCUUAUGAAAUGAAAGUGUGGAGGUUUUUUUUUUUCUUUUUUUAGCUGUGUGUAUGUGUGUGUGUAUGCACAUGUGGUCCAUAAAAAGUAACUGAAUGAGUGCAGAUGAGAUUCAAUGAGAGGAGCCAUUUUCAAAGCGAAUGUCGGACAGACACAGACACCAUGGUUAGUUUUUUUUUUUUUUUUUUUGAGACCGAGUGUCACUGUGUCGCCCAGACUGGAGUGCAGUGGCGCGAUCUUGGCUCACUGCAACCUCCACCUGCCGGGUUUAAGCAGUUCUCCUGCCUCAGCCUCCUGAGUAACUGGGACUAGAGGCGUGCACCACCGUGCCCAGCUAAUUUUUGUAUUUUCAGUAGAGACGAGGUUUCACCAUGUUGGUUAGGCUGGUCUGGAACUCCUGACCUCAGGUGAUCCACUCACCUCGGCCUCCUAAAGUGCUGGGAUUACAGGCAUGAGCCACUGCACCCAGUCUUGGUUAGUUGGUUUCUGACAGCAAUGAUGAAGUAAUGAACUUGGUGUAAAAGCACCAGAUUCAGGUCAAGAUAUUUUUGAAAAAUAUAUUUUUGCUUAUUUUUAAUGAUAGCAUUUAUUUUUGUCAGCUCUUGAAAUUAAUAAGAGGGCUCCCAUCUGGUUUAUUCAUGGCUUCUUUAAACCUUGUCUCCACAUGUAUUUGUCAUAAUUAGUGAUGGAGAUUCCUAAGUUCCAAGGCUAACAGAAUAAUAUAGCUGUAAACAUAGCAUAUCAUCAUUUGACUAAUUAAGUGGAAUCUAAGAAGAAAACAGUUAACUUCAUUUCUGGGUAGUAAUAUUGCAUUAUGGACAAGAAUAUCUUCUAUGUGUUAGAGUUAUAAAUACUUAGUUUCCAUAAAAAAAUAUUAAAAGUACUUAUACUUAGAUGCUUAGACAUGUAUAUGAGUGUGUGUGUGUGUGUGUGUGUGUGUGUGUGUGUGUUAGAUCUUUCAGCCUUUCCUGGCUGUCCAUUGAAAUAGAGGUCAUAUGGGCUAUUGAUUAAGAGGGUAGUAAUUUUUCAAACACAUAAACAAUAUAAUGAGUCAGACCAAUGGUUUGCCUGUGUAGAAAUUUGAGACAUUGUUUAAUGGAAAUAAUAAAAAUAUGCUGAGUACCUUCUG
Molecule: long non-coding RNA, 1842 nt
Organism: Macaca mulatta (Rhesus monkey)
Lineage: Eukaryota; Metazoa; Chordata; Mammalia; Primates; Cercopithecidae
Source: Ensembl